Long non-coding RNA from Orcinus orca (killer whale), 1157 nucleotides. RefSeq lists it as uncharacterized. The record is from RefSeq and is a predicted model, not a curated record. Lineage: Eukaryota; Metazoa; Chordata; Mammalia; Artiodactyla; Delphinidae. The transcript has 2 exons.
AAAAGAAAUUCUUGGGUAUUCUUGGGAAUGAAAAGUAGGUUAAAAACUUGGCCUCUUUCUUUGCCCUCACAUCUAGUCAGAGAUUUCAAAAAUCCCUCGGCAGUGAAAGCCUGGAGUCCUAACUACUGGACCGCCAGGGAAUUCCCUCCAAGGUAUAUUAUUAAGUUAAAAAAAGUAAAGAACACUAUGAAUUGUUUGUUACCAUUUGUGUGUGUUUGUGUUUUUUCACACUAUAUGCACAGAACAUCUCUGAAAAGAUACACAGCAAACUGAUCAUCUUUGUGGAGGGAAUUGGUGGCUGGAAGACAGUGGAAGGAAGAGGAUUGACUUUUCACUGCAUAUCCUUUUGAAUCAUUAGAUUUUUGAGCCAUAUGUAUGUAUUAUCUAUUCAAAAUUAUUUUUAUUUUUUGACAGCUUUCUUAAGCUGGACUUGACAUUCAAUAAGCUGUGCAUAUUUAAAGUGCACAAUUUGUUUCGACAAAUGGAUACACAAUGGAACCAUCACCACAAUCAAGGGGAAUGUGAUGAUCCUUUACCCGAGAAUGGAUGUGAAUCACUUUACAAUCAAACAGCAGCGCACAUAGGUGGAAUCAAUAUCAUUAUCGUGAUCUCAGAGGCAGUGUAGAGUGGAAACAUAGUCUGGCAAUGACCCCCUUGGCCACACCUGCUCAUGGAUUUUCCAUUUUCCCUCUUUAUGGGCAUCUUUUAAAAAGAGAGGCAAUAAAAGAGUAAGAGUCACCUCAUCAGUUGAUGAGUAAGGCCCCAUCAAUAAUCCCCUGGAGCUCUACAUUAAAUUGAUUAGCCAUCUGUCCUCUCCAGGGUCUCCCACACAUUGCCAAACUUCCAUCUCUUUGCACUUGGUAGACAUACUUUUACAGCAUGUCUUUACUUCAGCUUCACUUAUAGUCACUGACAUGGGCUGAAUUGUGUCCCUCCAAUUCAAUGUGUUGAAGUUCUAACCCCCAGUACCUCAGAAUGGGACUGUAUUUGGAGACAGAGCCUUGAAAGAGAUAAUUAAGACAUAAUGAGGUCAUGCAGAUGAGCCCUAAUCCAGUAUGACUGGUUUCCUUACAAGAAGAGGAGAUGGGGACAUAGACACACACAAAGAACCAUGUAAAGACAGAGACAAGACGGCCAUCUACACGCUGAGGAGAGAA